AGAAACUUAGGUUAAUAGACCAAGAGCCUUCAAAGCUCUAAGUAGGAGUUUAACUCUCCUAAUUUCUG
This 68-nucleotide transfer RNA is filed under the name Callulina kreffti (Krefft's secret frog). Its description in RNAcentral is "tRNA-Trp". It matches the Rfam family "tRNA". Rfam says of the family: Transfer RNA (tRNA) molecules are approximately 80 nucleotides in length. Their secondary structure includes four short double-helical elements and three loops (D, anti-codon, and T loops). The record is from RNAcentral. Lineage: Eukaryota; Metazoa; Chordata; Amphibia; Anura; Brevicipitidae.